This 107-nucleotide ribosomal RNA is filed under the name Fukomys damarensis (Damara mole-rat). The record is from RNAcentral. Lineage: Eukaryota; Metazoa; Chordata; Mammalia; Rodentia; Bathyergidae.
GUCUACGGUCAUACCACCCUGAAUGCACCCGAUCUCAUCUGAUCUUGGAAACUAAGCAGGGUGGGGCCUGGUUAGUACUUGGAUGGGAGAGAGAGGAGCCAUGAGCU